CGGUCACGAAACGCUAAACCCUAAGCUCUCGUUCCUCCUCCACUCCUCAUUCCACUGAUCAAAAACAUCUUCUUCCUCCUUUUCUGAUUUGGAGUAAUCCACAGCAGUGGUCGCCUCUUGCGAGUUCGUCCAUCUUCUUCCUUCCCUGCCGUCUGCCCAUCGAAGCAGACCUAGGGUUUGGAGUAGGGGACCUUGCCGCACCAACUUAUUGAAACGGUUUGGAAGUUGUUCGGGGAUUGUUUGACAUAUACAAGUCGAGAUCUGACUUGUAGGCGCGAAUACCAAGAAUUUUGAGGGGCGCGGUGGAUACGACUGAAACCAUUCAACACUGACACCCCCUCUUGUUCUCUUUUACGGUGAAUUAAACUGCGAAGGAUGACGGAGAGCAAAGGAUCUAGGCUCGCUGAGCACGUUCCCUUGCCGUACCCUCCGUAUGUCAACACUAUCGAAAAUACGACUAAUUUGUCCUUGGCUGCUAGAGCUAUCAUAUUCAUAACCAACUUAUUAUGUUGACUUUCAUCCACUUCAUCACUCGAUAUGCAUUAAGCUGACAUGAAACUAUUUGUUGUUUUUUAUUCUUUUUUUCGUAAAUUUUAAUUUCUAUGAUUUUUAUUAAUUGUUAAGCUUAUUUUUUUAAGUAAUCAAGUUAAGUGGAAGAAUAUUAUAAAAUUAAAAUUUGUGUAAAUUCAUCUUAACUUGCAUUAAGUAUAAAAUGAGUUAUUUUUAAUUUAACUUUUCUAAUUGAUAUUGACAUGUUCUUUUAAAUUGAAAUUACAAAUUACAAGUCAUAUGUGGGAGGUUGUCAGUAGCUGGGAAGAUUGACAAGAUGUUAAAUAUGUACAAUAUAUUGAUCAGAAGAAAGAGUAUUUGCACUGCAUUGAUAAAAUAGAAGAAAAAUUGAAUAAAUAUGAAAGUUUAAAGGAAGAACAUAAAACAAAAUUAGAGGAGUUGGAAAAAAAUUAUAUGUUGUUGUUGGAGGAAAUGAAGGAGAUGAAACAGUUUAUGUUGAAGAGAGCGGUGAUAUGGGAGAACAAGUAUAAAGAUACAUCAUAAUAAAAUAAAUCUGAUAAUGAUAAUUUGCUAGAAAAUGCUAUUACUAGUGGUGAUAUGGAAUAACAAGCUGAAGAAAUGAA
Zingiber officinale is the source of this 1133-nucleotide long non-coding RNA. RefSeq lists it as uncharacterized. The transcript has 5 exons. The record is from RefSeq and is a predicted model, not a curated record. NCBI's taxonomy places the organism in Eukaryota, Viridiplantae, Streptophyta, Magnoliopsida, Zingiberales, Zingiberaceae.